GCUACAAUGGCAUAUACAAAGAGAAGCGACCUCGCGAGAGCAAGCGGACCUCAUAAAGUAUGUCGUAGUCCGGAUUGGAGUCUGCAACUCGACUCCAUGAAGUCGGAAUCGCUAGUAAUCGUGGAUCAGAAUGCCACGGUGAAUACGUUCCCGGGCCUUGUACACACCGCCCGUCACACCAUGGGAGUGGGUUGCAAAAGAAGUAGGUAGCUUAACCUUCGGGAGGGCGCUUACCACUUUGUGAUUCAUGACUGGGGUGAAGUCGUAACAAGGUAACCGUAGGGGAACCUGCGGUUGGAUCACCUCCUUA
This 310-nucleotide ribosomal RNA is filed under the name Citrobacter freundii. RNAcentral describes it as "partial 16S ribosomal RNA". It matches the Rfam family "Bacterial small subunit ribosomal RNA", at positions 1224 to 1533 of the family's 1533-position model. Lineage: Bacteria; Pseudomonadati; Pseudomonadota; Gammaproteobacteria; Enterobacterales; Enterobacteriaceae. The record is from RNAcentral.